GACGAACGCUGGCGGCGUGCCUAAUACAUGCAAGUUGAGCGAUGAAGCUUGGUGCUUGCACCAAUUUGAAGAGCAGCGAACGGGUGAGUAACGCGUGGGGAAUCUGCUUUUGAGCUGGGGACAACAUUUGGAAACGAAUGCUAAUACCGCAUAAUAACUUUAAACAUAAGUUUUAAGUUUGAAAGAUGCAAUUGCAUCACUCAAAGAUGAUCCCGCGUUGUAUUAGCUAGUUGGUGAGGUAAAGGCUCACCAAGGCGAUGAUACAUAGCCGACCUGAGAGGGUGAUCGGCCACAUUGGGACUGAGACACGGCCCAAACUCCUACGGGAGGCAGCAGUAGGGAAUCUUCGGCAAUGGACGAAAGUCUGACCGAGCAACGCCGCGUGAGUGAAGAAGGUUUUCGGAUCGUAAAACUCUGUUGGUAGAGAAGAACGUUGGUGAGAGUGGAAAGCUCAUCAAGUGACGGUAACUACCCAGAAAGGGACGGCUAACUACGUG
Molecule: ribosomal RNA, 497 nt
Filed under: uncultured bacterium
Lineage: Bacteria
Description: partial 16S ribosomal RNA
Rfam family: Bacterial small subunit ribosomal RNA
Source: RNAcentral